RNAcentral lists this ribosomal RNA (1092 nucleotides) under Triticum aestivum (bread wheat). Its description in RNAcentral is "partial small subunit ribosomal RNA". The record is from RNAcentral. Lineage: Eukaryota; Viridiplantae; Streptophyta; Magnoliopsida; Poales; Poaceae.
AUGUUUAGGCUAUCUAAGAAGAAUAUUGAUAGACUAGAUAAGCAUAGGAAAAAGUUCUUUUGGCAAGAGACUGAUGGUCGGAGAAGAUAUCACUUGGUCAGGUGGUCUAGAAUAUGCAGAUCUAAGAACAAAGGGGGUUUGGGAGUUAAAGAUUUGCACAUACAAAACAUCAGUCUCCUCACCAAAUGGUGGUGGAAACUGGAAACCCAAAAAGGCCUUUGGCAGGAGAUAAUCCGUGCUAAAUACUUCAGAAAUGAUACGAUCCCCUCGGUGAAAAGUAAGUUUGGGGAUUCCCCCAUAGGGAAAGCUAUUGUGAAAGUAAAGGAGAUAUACUUGGCAGGUAGAGAAGUGAUUUUAAAUUCUGGGAAUAUAACCAGAGUCUGGAAUGACCCCAUUAGGGGUGAUGCUCCCUUGCGUGCUAAGUUUCCGGCCUUGUUCAGCAUCUGUAAUUAUCAGGAGAUUACUGUUGCUGAAUUCAAAAAAUUUGAGGGUAGCGAUCUUUUUAGAAGGAACCUUCAUCCUCCCCUUACGGAUCAGUGGAACGAUCUAGUUAAGGUGGUUAAUUCUUGGCAUUUAUCCGAUGAGACGGAUCAUAUUAGCUGGAGAUUGGGGAAGAAAGGUAAAUUCUCGACCAAAUCGGUCUAUACUUAUUUGGAGAGAACCCUGGCGGGAUGCGAUUUCAGGUGGAUAUGGAAAGCAAAAAUCCCUCUUAAGAUUCAAAUUUUUCUUUGGCAAUUGUUCCAAGACGCGGUUUUGACUCGAGAUGUCAUGAGAAGGCGAAGAUGGGCAGGAAAUCCUAGAUGCUCGUUCUGCAAUGAGGUGGAAACCUCGCAGCAUCUUUUCUUUACGUGUCGUGUUGCUCGGGUGAUUUGGAGGACGGUUGGGUGUGUGUUAGGCACAUCGUUGUGUCCAAACAACCUUUGGCAGUACUUCUCCUGGUGGUACAUAUUCCUUCCUGAUGGAGCAAAAUUCUAUAUUUUGGUUUGGCAGCUAUAUGAUGGGCAAUUUGGGUCAGUCGCAAUCAGGCUACCUUUGAGCACAAAACUCUUAAAAGUCCUUUUAGUGUGGUUUAUGCUGCUUGUGGCUUUUUGA